GAUGAACGCUGGCGGCGUGCUUAACACAUGCAAGUCGAACGGAAAGGCUCCUGCGUGCCGGGGUACUCGAGUGGCGAACGGGUGAGUAACACGUGGGUGAUCUGCCCUGCACUUCGGGAUAAGCCUGGGAAACUGGGUCUAAUACCGGAUAGGACGAUGGUUUGGAUGCCAUUGUGGAAAGUUUUUCGGUGUGGGAUGAGCUCGCGGCCUAUCAGCUUGUUGGUGGGGUAAUGGCCUACCAAGGCGUCGACGGGUAGCCGGCCUGAGAGGGUGUACGGCCACAUUGGGACUGAGAUACGGCCCAGACUCCUACGGGAGGCAGCAGUGGGGAAUAUUGCACAAUGGGCGCAAGCCUGAUGCAGCGACGCCGCGUGGGGGAUGACGGCCUUCGGGUUGUAAACUCCUUUCGCUAGGGACGAAGCGCAAGUGACGGUACCUGGAGAAGAAGCACCGGCUAACUACGUG
Molecule: ribosomal RNA, 465 nt
Filed under: uncultured bacterium
Lineage: Bacteria
Description: partial 16S ribosomal RNA
Rfam family: Bacterial small subunit ribosomal RNA
Source: RNAcentral